Molecule: ribosomal RNA, 470 nt
Filed under: uncultured bacterium
Lineage: Bacteria
Description: partial 16S ribosomal RNA
Rfam family: Bacterial small subunit ribosomal RNA
Source: RNAcentral
GACGAACGCUGGCUGCGUGCUUAACACAUGCAAGUCGAACGCUGAAGCCCCAGCUUGCUGGGGUGGAUGAGUGGCGAACGGGUGAGUAACACGUGAGUAACCUGCCCCUGACUUCGGGAUAAGCCCGGGAAACUGGGUCUAAUACCGGAUACGACUAUCGGACGCAUGUCUGGUGGUGGAAAGUUUUUUCGGUUGGGGAUGGGCUCGCGGCCUAUCAGUUUGUUGGUGAGGUAAUGGCUCACCAAGACGACGACGGGUAGCCGGCCUGAGAGGGCGAUCGGCCACACUGGGACUGAGACACGGCCCAGACUCCUACGGGAGGCAGCAGUGGGGAAUAUUGCACAAUGGGGGAAACCCUGAUGCAGCGACGCAGCGUGCGGGAUGACGGCCUUCGGGUUGUAAACCGCUUUCAGCAGGGAAGAAGCCUUCGGGUGACGGUACCUGCAGAAGAAGUACCGGCUAACUACGUG